This 528-nucleotide ribosomal RNA is filed under the name uncultured bacterium. RNAcentral describes it as "bacterial SSU rRNA". It matches the Rfam family "Bacterial small subunit ribosomal RNA", at positions 8 to 524 of the family's 1533-position model. The record is from RNAcentral.
AGAGUUUGAUCCUGGCUCAGAUUGAACGCUGGCGGCAGGCCUAACACAUGCAAGUCGAGCGGUAACAGAUUGAUAGCUUGCUAUCAAUGCUGACGAGCGGCGGACGGGUGAGUAAUGCCUGGGAAUAUACCCUGAUGUGGGGGAUAACUAUUGGAAACGAUAGCUAAUACCGCAUAAUCUCUUCGGAGCAAAGAGGGGACCUUCGGGCCUUCCGCGAUUGGAUGAACCUAGGUGGGAUUAGCUAGUUGGUGAGGUAAUGGCUCACCAAGGCGACGAUCCCUAGCUGUUCUGAGAGGAUGAUCAGCCACACUGGGACUGAGACACGGCCCAGACUCCUACGGGAGGCAGCAGUGGGGAAUAUUGCACAAUGGGGGAAACCCUGAUGCAGCCAUGCCGCGUGUGUGAAGAAGGCCUUCGGGUUGUAAAGCACUUUCAGUAGGGAGGAAAGGUAGCAGCUUAAUACGCUGUUGCUGUGACGUUACCUACAGAAGAAGGACCGGCUAACUCCGUGCCAGCAGCCGCGGUAAU